GCGUGAGUGAAGAAGGCCUUAGGGUCGUAAAGCUCUUUCGCCUGUGAUGAUAAUGACAGUAUCUGGUAAAGAAACCCCGGCUAACUCCGUGCCAGCAGCCGCGGUAAUACGGAGGGGGUUAGCGUUGUUCGGAAUUACUGGGCGUAAAGCGCGCGUAGGCGGACUAGUCAGUCAGGGGUGAAAUCCCGGGGCUCAACCCCGGAACUGCCUUUGAUACUGCUAGUCUAGAGUUCGAGAGAGGUGAGUGGAAUUCCGAGUGUAGAGGUGAAAUUCGU
Molecule: ribosomal RNA, 275 nt
Filed under: uncultured bacterium
Lineage: Bacteria
Description: partial 16S ribosomal RNA
Rfam family: Bacterial small subunit ribosomal RNA
Source: RNAcentral